GAGGAGCAUGUCUCUCUGUCAUGCUCCCUGCGGUUCCCACAAUUCCCAGCACAGGAUGUUGGAACCGCAGGGAGCAUGACAGAGAGACAUGCUCCU
Pelobates cultripes (western spadefoot toad) is the source of this 96-nucleotide non-coding RNA. The record is from the annotation of a GenBank genome assembly. NCBI's taxonomy places the organism in Eukaryota, Metazoa, Chordata, Amphibia, Anura, Pelobatidae.